Carassius carassius (crucian carp) is the source of this 373-nucleotide long non-coding RNA. RefSeq lists it as uncharacterized. The record is from RefSeq and is a predicted model, not a curated record. NCBI's taxonomy places the organism in Eukaryota, Metazoa, Chordata, Actinopteri, Cypriniformes, Cyprinidae. The transcript has 3 exons.
GAGCGGGGGAGGAGGAGUCGAGUUCCGCUACACAGGCGCGCGUUCGAACAUCAGACAAAUAUUUGGACGUGUGUCUUGUCUUAAACAAUGACUACGUGCAGCUCACAGUUUAUGGAAUAGCCCUUUUUGAACUCGUAUAAGAAGAUAUUAGACUUUGCAAUCACUAUUUUAGUAAUUCUAGAGAUCUUUUGUGUAUAGCUAGACUGUGUCGUCGAGAGAUUUGCCCCAGGCAUUCAAUAAAACCGAAUUCUUUGUGGUGUUGAGCGGUAUCGAGCUGACGCGAUGGAACUUUGUGUAGCUGCAGUGCUUUUGUCGUAUUUCACUCCAGCUUUGGCUUCCCAAAUGGACGAAAUUCAUGGUAAGUGUCUUAUAG